UUUUACGGAGAGUUUGAUCCUGGCUCAGGAUGAACGCUGGCGGCGUGCUUAACACAUGCAAGUCGAACGAUGACUUUUGUGCUUGCACAAAAUGAUUAGUGGCGAACGGGUGAGUAACACGUGAGUAACCUGCCCUUGACUCUGGGAUAAGCCUGGGAAACUGGGUCUAAUACUGGAUAUGCACCGUGAACCGCAUGGUUUUUGGUGGAAAGAUUUAUU
Molecule: ribosomal RNA, 219 nt
Filed under: Paeniglutamicibacter gangotriensis
Lineage: Bacteria; Bacillati; Actinomycetota; Actinomycetes; Micrococcales; Micrococcaceae
Description: partial 16S ribosomal RNA
Rfam family: Bacterial small subunit ribosomal RNA
Source: RNAcentral